UCCGGUUGAUCCCGCCGGAGGUGACUGCUAUCCGAAUUCGGCUUAGCCAUGCAAGUGUAGGGUUAAACCUACGCAGACUGCUCAGUAACACGUAGUCAAUCUGCCCUUAGGUAUUGUCUAAUCCCGGGAAACUGGGGCCGAGGACAUAAUAGGUAAAAGAUACUGGAAUGUUCUUUUACUGAACUAAGGAUGAGACUGCGGCCUAUCAGGCUGUUGCGAGGGUAACGUCCUCGCAAACCUAUAACGGGUACGGGCCUUGAGAGAGGGAGCCCGGAGUCCUAUUCUGAGACAAGAAUAUGGGUCCUACGGGACGCAGCAGGCGCGAAACUUUCACAACGCACGCAAGUGUGAUGAAGGAAUUCGGAGUGAUUUCUCAUACUUUGAGGAAUCUUUUGAUAAGUCUAAAAAGCUCGUUGAAUAAGGGGUGGGUAAGACGGGUGCCAGCCGCCGCGGUAAUACCCGCGCCCCAAGUGGUCACCACGUUUAUUGGGCUUGAAGCAUUCGUAGCCGGUUCAAUAAGUUUCUAAUGAAAUCCUGCAGCCAACUGCAGGGCUUGUUGGGAAUACUAUUGGACUAGAGACCGGGAGAGGUGCAGGGUAUUCCUGGGGUAGUGGUAAAAUACUUUAAUCCCAGGAGGACCACCUGUGGCGAAGGCGCUGCACUAGAACGGAUCUGACGGUGAGGGAUGAAAGCUAGGGGAGCAAAGCGGAUUAGAUACCCGUGUAGUCCUAGCUGUAACGAUGCCCGCUAGACAUUGACAUUCUUACGGGGGAUGUCAGAGUCGUAGGGAAACCGUUAAGCGGGCCGCCUGGGGAGUACGGUCGCAAGGCUGAAACUUAAGGGAAUUGGCGGGGGAGUACACAAGGGGUGGAGGCUGCGGUUCAAUUCGAUUCAACGCGAGGAACCUCACCAGCGGCGACAGCAGAAUGAAGGUCAGGCUGAAGGUCUUACCAAACAAGCUGAGAGGAGCUGCAUGGCCGUCGUCAGUUCGUGUCGUGAGGUGUCCUGUUAAGUCAGGUAACGAACGAGACCCAUAUCCUAUGUUGCCACACUUUCCUUUUGGGGAGAAGCACUCAUAGGAGACCGCUACUGAUAAAGUAGAGGAAGGAAUGGUCGACGGCAGGUCAGUAUGGUCUGAAUCCGCUGGGCAACACGCGGCCUACAAUGGCUGGUAUAAUAGGAUGCGACCCUGUAAAGGGGAGCUAAUCCUCAAACCCAGUCUUAAUCCGGAUCGAGGGUUGUAACUCACCCUCGUGAAGCCGAAAUCCCUAGUAGUCGCUGGUCAUCAUCUAGCGGCGAAUAUGUUCCUACUCCUUGCACACACUGCCCGUCAAGCCAACCGAGUGGAUUUAUGGCGAGCUUCUGGUUUUUGCCAGGAUCAAGUCAUUUUUCUGCAAGGUGGGCUAAGUC
RNAcentral lists this ribosomal RNA (1410 nucleotides) under metagenome. Its description in RNAcentral is "bacterial SSU rRNA". It matches the Rfam family "Archaeal small subunit ribosomal RNA". The record is from RNAcentral.